AUCAAAUAAUCAAACCAAAUGCUCUACAUAUGCCUCUGCCAAGGUAUUGCCAUUGACAAUAUUUGUUGUUCCAAUAAUCAUAUCAUAUGCCAUCCCUUCCUGAGCACUAAGAAAUCGGAGAGCAGAAAUUUCUGCAAAUGUAACCCCUCCAAUAAAUACAACAAGUACAAGGGAGCGUCUUCCGUCAGCUACUAAUCUGUCUGCAGCUUCUGAAGACCUGUGUAAUGUGUCAAAAGAUGGACUGCUUGAGAAUCCAACUCUCUUUGUUUCCGAGUGUGGUCCAGGCAACAACUUCAAAAUUUCUUCCAUGGGACGCCAUCCAGAACGAACAGCAUGCUGAACAAGACGAAUACUUAGUGGUGCAUAUCCAGAAAAGACAUAGGAAAUGUCAUUUGGGUUGGCAGUGUCAGUAUCUUCAACCACAAGUUGUAGAGCACGCUUGACUGUCAGCCAGUUGCUUUUCG
RNAcentral lists this unclassified non-coding RNA (464 nucleotides) under Hevea brasiliensis (rubber tree). Lineage: Eukaryota; Viridiplantae; Streptophyta; Magnoliopsida; Malpighiales; Euphorbiaceae. The record is from RNAcentral.